RNAcentral lists this ribosomal RNA (301 nucleotides) under uncultured bacterium. RNAcentral's name for it is "partial 16S ribosomal RNA". It matches the Rfam family "Bacterial small subunit ribosomal RNA", at positions 509 to 809 of the family's 1533-position model. The record is from RNAcentral.
CAGUAGCCGCGGUAACACAGAGGGUGCGAGCGUUAAUCGGAUUUACUGGGCGUAAAGCGUGCGUAGGCGGCUUCUUAAGUCGGAUGUGAAAUCCCUGAGCUUAACUUAGGAAUUGCAUUCGAUACUGGGAAGCUAGAGUAUGGGAGAGAAUGGUAGAAUUCCAGGUGUAGCGGUGAAAUGCGUAGAGAUCUGGAGGAAUACCGAUGGCGAAGGCAGCCAUCUGGCCUAAUACUGACGCUGAGGUACGAAAGCAUGGGGAGCAAACAGGAUUAGAUACCCCAGUAGUCCCUGUCUCUUAUAA